This is a small nuclear RNA of Cricetulus griseus (Chinese hamster), 106 nucleotides long. The record is from Ensembl. Lineage: Eukaryota; Metazoa; Chordata; Mammalia; Rodentia; Cricetidae.
UGGCUGGCUUUGCAGCACUCGCAAUAGAUUUGGAAUGAUAUAGAGAAGAUUAGCUUGUUCCCUGUGCAAGGAUGACAUGCAAAUUCAUGAAGUAGUCCAUAGUUAA